AACGAACGCUGGCGGCAUGCCUAACACAUGCAAGUCGAACGAGACCUUCGGGUCUAGUGGCGCACGGGUGCGUAACGCGUGGGAACCUGCCCUUAGGUUCGGAAUAACUCCCCGAAAGGGGUGCUAAUACCGGAUAAUGUCUUCGGACCAAAGAUUUAUCGCCUUUGGAUGGGCCCGCGUUGGAUUAGCUAGUUGGUAGGGUAAAAGCCUACCAAGGCGACGAUCCAUAGCUGGUCUGAGAGGAUGAUCAGCCACACUGGGACUGAGACACGGCCCAGACUCCUACGGGAGGCAGCAGUGGGGAAUAUUGGACAAUGGGCGAGAGCCUGAGCCAGCAAUGCCGCGUGAGUGAUGAAGGCCUUAGGGUUGUAAAGCUCUUUUACCCGGGAUGAUAAUGACAGUACCGGGAGAAUAAGCUCCGGCUAACUCCGUG
Molecule: ribosomal RNA, 433 nt
Filed under: uncultured bacterium
Lineage: Bacteria
Description: partial 16S ribosomal RNA
Rfam family: Bacterial small subunit ribosomal RNA
Source: RNAcentral